This 452-nucleotide ribosomal RNA is filed under the name uncultured bacterium. RNAcentral's name for it is "bacterial SSU rRNA". It matches the Rfam family "Bacterial small subunit ribosomal RNA", at positions 29 to 526 of the family's 1533-position model. The record is from RNAcentral.
AACGAACGCUGGCGGCAGGCCUAACACAUGCAAGUCGAGCGAGAACUUCGGUUCUAGCGGCAGACGGGUGAGUAACGCGUGGGAAUCUACCCAUCCCUACGGAACAACUCCGGGAAACUGGAGCUAAUACCGUAUACGCCCUACGGGGGAAAGAUUUAUCGGGGAUGGAUGAGCCCGCGUUGGAUUAGGUAGUUGGUGGGGUAAUGGCCUACCAAGCCGACGAUCCAUAGCUGGUUUGAGAGGAUGAUCAGCAACACUGGGACUGAGACACGGCCCAGACUCCUACGGGAGGCAGCAGUGGGGAAUCUUAGACAAUGGGGGCAACCCUGAUCUAGCCAUGCCGCGUGAGUGAUGAAGGCCUUAGGGUUGUAAAGCUCUUUCAGCUGGGAAGAUAAUGACGGUACCAGCAGAAGAAGCCCCGGCUAACUCCGUGCCAGCAGCCGCAGUAACAC